AUGAGGGCCAAGUGGUCCAGGUGGAUGACCAAGUACUCGAAGCGCUACUCUGGCCCCGAGGAGAAGGAGAAGAGGUUCCAGAUCUUCAAGCAGAACACCAACUCCAUCGGCGCUUUUGCCAGCCAGACCACAGUGAAUGCCGUUGUCGGCGGAUUCAGGCCCCAGACCAUCACCACGGUCACCGUCGGCAUGAACAGGUUCGGCGACCUCAACCCCAGCGAGGUCGUCGAGCAGUUCACUGGGUCCAACAACACUGGCUUCAUCCCAGAAGCUCCCACCUACCUCCCCUAUGAGGACUCCCGGAAGUCGUGCUGCGUCGACUGGCGCUCCCAUGGCGCCGUCACCGGCGUCAAGUUUCAGGGCUCUUGCUUGUCAUGCUGGGCAUUCGCGGCGGUGGCGGCCAUCGAGGGCAUGAACAAGAUCAGGACCGGUGAGCUGGUGUCGCUCUCGGAGCAGCAGCUUGUGGACUGCGACACCGGAAGCAGCAGUUGCAGUGGUGGCCGCUCCGACACCGCAUUGGGCCUCUUGGCAUCCCACGGUGGCAUCACAUCGGAGGAGAGGUACCCGUACAGCGGCUAUUCGGGCAGCUGCGACGUGGACAAGCUGCUCUUCGACCACCAGGCGUCCGUCACGGGGUUCAAGUCCGUGCCGCCCAACGACGAGCGGCAGCUAGCGCUGGCCGUGGCGCAGCAGCCUGUGAUGGUGUACAUAGACGCCAGCGCGUGGGAUUUCCAGUUCUACUCCAGCAGCAUCUACAAAGGCCCCUGCUCUGCUGAGGCCGGGAGGGUGAACCACGCCGUGACCAUCGUCGGCUACUGCGAGAAGUUCGGUGAGAAGUUUUGGAUAGCCAAGAACUCGUGGAGCAACGACUGGGGCGACCAGGGAUACAUCUACCUCGCCAAGGACGUCGACUGGCCCACGGGCACCUGUGGCCUCGCCACCUCGCCCUUCUACCCAACAGCUUGA
Molecule: ribosomal RNA, 966 nt
Filed under: Triticum aestivum (bread wheat)
Lineage: Eukaryota; Viridiplantae; Streptophyta; Magnoliopsida; Poales; Poaceae
Description: partial small subunit ribosomal RNA
Source: RNAcentral